This is a non-coding RNA of Caenorhabditis elegans, 145 nucleotides long. Lineage: Eukaryota; Metazoa; Nematoda; Chromadorea; Rhabditida; Rhabditidae. The record is from Ensembl.
UGUUUGUGUGAAAAUUACCGCGCUUCUUGGAGUCCUCCGAUGACAGCUGCAACCCAUCACUUUCCAAUUUCGCGCACUGCCAUUUCGACUGUUAUAUUGUCAAUUACAACGCGCACAUCAUUCGUUUAUGGUAGUUGUUAUGAAC